Long non-coding RNA from Cercocebus atys (sooty mangabey), 1559 nucleotides. NCBI's taxonomy places the organism in Eukaryota, Metazoa, Chordata, Mammalia, Primates, Cercopithecidae. The record is from Ensembl.
GGACCGGGGACCCUCAGAGGCGAGCCGGCUGCCUCGGGUCACACAUCCGCGAACUCCGGGGGCGGGCUCCCCAGGACGCCGCCGCCCCCCACGACCCCCGCCCUCCCGCUUCCGUGGAAAGCCGCCCCGACGACCCCCGUGCGGGUUGUUGAGGGGCCGUCCUUCGCCGACCGCUGUGGGAACACCUCCGCGCGUGCGGCGGGACGCGGCGAGUCAGGGGCAGGAAGAACGCACGGAUGGAGACAACAGGAAGGAAGGAAGGAGGCCUUCCUGGUUACAGGUGGCCACAGGAGAAUAGGCAGCGGCCCAGGACGAUCCAGGGUCCCAGUGGUGGUUGAGAAGCUGGUUUUUAGUGAUCACUCAGGAACAUCGACCUGGCCUUGUGGGGUCAGACUUUGCAUCUCAGUCAUCCCAGGGAGAAGAAGAAGAUGGUCCACACCCAAGUGCAGGGAACGCCGUGGCAGUCGGCCGGGCACCCGCUUCCAGGCAAGGACACCUUCUGCAUCAAGGAAACACGUGUUUCCAGAGUGAGGAGGCUGAAGGCAGGGCCCAGAGGAGAGCCGAGCUAUGGAAGGAGGAGAAACCUGAAGAUCUGGGUCCAGAGCCUCAGAUCUUGCACUGGCAGCACACGGGGACACAGCAGGUGGACUGGCAGCAGCAGGGUUUGCAGCAGCUGGACUGGCAGCAGGAUGACCCACAACCUGAAGAGCAAGAGCAGGGCUUGCAGCAACUGCACUGGGAGCAGCCACAAGAACCACAGCCCCCCUUGGAGCCCCCACAGGAGCCACAGCUGGAGCAGGAACAGGACUGGGUCAAUGUUGCGGAUUUCCCACGUUCAACGCUGUGAGACACCUUCCCCCCUCCAGAGCAGUGCCGCUCUCUACCUGAUUCCUGCUGAUGCCCCCAGGGAUGUGGUAUCUUCUUUGUGGCAACUGUGGCUGAGGAUGGCAGGAUUCUCAGCAUUGGGGAAGGAAUGCAUCCUCUGUUUACCUCCUCCGUAUUCCUGGACGAGUCCCUGUGGGCAGGGCAAUGGGCUUUGUGAUUACAGAAGGGAAGUUCACACAGCAUGGUCCUUGGGGACGUGUGAGAAGAGCUUCCCACUGCUUUGGAACUGUUGUGUGGACAGGUUCUUCUCUUGGAGGAAAACAAAGCUUGGAGCAGAACUUGAGGGGUGGGGGAGGACCGUGAUGGGUACAAAGAGCAACCAAGGGACAGGAAGGAUACUCCAGCCAGGAGGCAGGGCACUAGCGACGGUGUGGAGGCUGCAGGUGCAGGAACCUGUCAGUAUGGUCCACACUCAGAUGCAGCUCAAAUGUGUGAAGAGUGGAUGUGCAGGCUUACAACCUUCCAGUGUGCCUCAGCCGACACGGGGUGAAACCCAAACCCCUGACACUGGCCCAUGCACCUCUCCAGCUGGAUUUGACCACGGCCUUGGCCACCCAUCGUUCCAGAACCAAUCAGCCCAAAGCUCAGUGGAUCAGGAGUUCAGAUCUGGCCCUGGAUGGUGGAACAGGCUGCAUGAUGCGUGGGGUCUCAGCUGGGAAGGUACCAAUGGCUAA